This 452-nucleotide unclassified non-coding RNA is filed under the name Hevea brasiliensis (rubber tree). Lineage: Eukaryota; Viridiplantae; Streptophyta; Magnoliopsida; Malpighiales; Euphorbiaceae. The record is from RNAcentral.
AUUUUUUUGGGCGUGUUCCAAAAUAGUCCAAACACGUCCCUAAAUGUGCUAACACAUUUUAACUUGCUAUUUUGUAAAAGUACAACUGCAGAUUUAGUUUUAGAUGCUUUCCUAUUUCAUUUAGAAUUAGCUUUUAUUUUCCUAUUUUAUUUGGGAUUUAUUUAAUUUUCCUAUUCUAAUUAGUAGGAUUCCUAUUUUGGAUGUAACUAAAUUGGAUUUAUAUUUUCCUAUAUUAGGUUUAAGAGAUCAAAACUCUAUAAAUAGCCCUUAAUUCCAUGUAUUUUCAGUUUUAGAAAUUUGAUUAAUAAAAUUCAGCUGAAAUUUUCUCUCAAAUACCUUAGUGUAUUGUGUGAGUGUGUUUUAUUGAGCUUCACGCUACAUCAAGUUAACUUACUUGGCCAGCAAUGUAAUCAUUCAAGAUUAUAGGGAGACCUCGUAUCAUUGCUUCUGCA